AUUGAACGCUGGCGGCAGGCCUAACACAUGCAAGUCGAGCGGAUGAAGGGAGCUUGCUCCUGGAUUCAGCGGCGGACGGGUGAGUAAUGCCUAGGAAUCUGCCUGGUAGUGGGGGAUAACGUCCGGAAACGGGCGCUAAUACCGCAUACGUCCUGAGGGAGAAAGUGGGGGAUCUUCGGACCUCACGCUAUCAGAUGAGCCUAGGUCGGAUUAGCUAGUUGGUGGGGUAAAGGCCUACCAAGGCGACGAUCCGUAACUGGUCUGAGAGGAUGAUCAGUCACACGGGAACUGGGGACCGGGCCAGGCUCCUGCGGGAGGCAGGAGGGGGGAAUAGUGGACAAUGGGCGAAAGCCUGAUCCAGCCAUGCCGCGUGUGUGAAGAAGGUCUUCGGAUUGUAAAGCACUUUAAGUUGGGAGGAAGGGCAGUGAGUUAAUACCUUGCUGUGUUGACGUUACCAACAGAAUAAGCACCGGCUAACUUCGUG
Molecule: ribosomal RNA, 484 nt
Filed under: uncultured bacterium
Lineage: Bacteria
Description: partial 16S ribosomal RNA
Rfam family: Bacterial small subunit ribosomal RNA
Source: RNAcentral